GGAGGGAUCAUUACCGAGUCACGUGCUCAAACAACCCUUCUGUGGACCUGAAUUAAACCGUUGCCUCGGCGGGCGGUCCCCUGUCAAAAAAAAAAACCCACGUGGUUAUAGGCAGGGGACCAGACAGUCCGGCACGCUUAAGGCGUCCGGCGCCAGCCGCUGGCCCUAAACAAUUAAACUCUAGUAACCUUACCUUCUGAGUUUUAAUACAAAAAAUAAGUCAAAACUUUCAACAACGGAUCUCUUGGCUCUGGCAUCGAUGAAGAACGCAGCGAAAUGCGAUAAGUAAUGUGAAUUGCAGAAUUCAGUGAAUCAUCGAAUCUUUGAACGCACAUUGCGCCCGCUGGUAUUCCAGCGGGCAUGCCCGUUCGAGCGUCAUUUUAAUCCCUUCCCGAGAGACUCUUCUAUUUCUGUAGUGGAGUCCGCGGGGCGUUGGCACUGGGCGCCUCAUUUUUUUAGGCGGCCGGAGCCGAAAUGAAGCGGCGGACUCGCGGUGGCCCCUAGCGCAGUAGAACAAGCCUUCUCGCUUAGGAGAGCCGCAGCGGUGGAUCACAGCCCUACAUGCAAAAGCAACAUAUAAAAACUUGACCUCGGAUCGGGUAGGACUACCCGCUGAACUUAAGCAUAUCAAUAAGCGGAGGAAAAGAAACCAACAGGGAUUGCCUUAGUAACGGCGAGUGAAGCGGCAACAGCUCAGAUUUGAAAUCUGGCCUUCGGGUCCGAGUUGUAAUCUGUAGAGGAUGCUUCGGGUGAGGUACCUUCCGAGUGCCCUGGAACGGGACGCCAGAGAGGGUGAGAGCCCCGUACGGUUGGAUACCAAGCCUAUGUGAAGCUCCUUCGACGAGUCGAGUAGUUUGGGAAUGCUGCUCAAAAUGGGAGGUAAAUUUCUUCUAAAGCUAAAUACCGGCCAGAGACCGAUAGCGCACAAGUAGAGUGAUCGAAAGAUGAAAAGCACUUUGGAAAGAGGGUUAAAAAGUACGUGAAAUUGUUGAAAGGGAAGCGCUUGCGACCAGACUCGCGCCCCGUGGAUCAUCCGGUGUUCUCACCGGUGCACUCCGCGGGUCUCGGGCCAGCAUCGGUUCGCCCAGGGGGAUAAAAGCUCUGGGAAUGUGGCUCUCUUCGGGGAGUGUUAUAGCCCACUGUGGAAUACCCCUGGCGCGGACCGAGGACCGCGCCUUGUGCAAGGAUGCUGGCGUAAUGGUCGUCAGCGACCCGUCUUGAAACACGGACCAAGGAGUCGAACAUUUGUGCGAGUGUCUGGGUGACAAAACCCUUACGCGUAAUGAAAGUGAACGGAGGUGGGAGCUUCGGCGCACCAUCGACCGAUCCUGAAGUUUUCUGAUGGAUUUGAGUAAGAGCGUAACUGUUCGGACCCGAAAGAUGGUGAACUAUGCCUGUGUAGGGUGAAGCCAGAGGAAACUCUGGUGGAGGCUCGCAGCGGUUCUGACGUGCAAAUCGAUCGUCAAACAUGGGCAUGGGGGCGAAAGACUAAUCGAACCAUCUAGUAGCUGGUUUCCGC
Molecule: unclassified non-coding RNA, 1519 nt
Filed under: uncultured Sordariomycetes
Lineage: Eukaryota; Fungi; Ascomycota; Sordariomycetes
Description: sequence contains 18S rRNA gene, ITS1, 5.8S rRNA gene, ITS2, 28S rRNA gene
Rfam family: Eukaryotic large subunit ribosomal RNA (bases 586-1519)
Source: RNAcentral